CCUACGGGAGGCAGCAGUGGGGAAUAUUGGACAAUGGGCGAAAGCCUGAUCCAGCCAUGCCGCGUGUGUGAAGAAGGCCUUCGGGUUGUAAGGCACUUUCAGUGGGGAAGAAAGCCUUGGGGCUAAUACCCUCGAGGAAGGACAUCACCCACAGAAGAAGCACCGGCUAACUCCGUGCCAGCAGCCGCGGUAAUACGGAGGGUGCGAGCGUUAAUCGGAAUUACUGGGCGUAAAGCGCGCGUAGGCGGUCUGAUAAGCCGGUUGUGAAAGCCCCGGGCUCAACCUGGGAACGGCAUCCGGAACUGUCAGGCUAGAGUGCAGGAGAGGAAGGUAGAAUUCCCGGUGUAGCGGUGAAAUGCGUAGAGAUCGGGAGGAAUACCAGUGGCGAAGGCGGCCUUCUGGACUGACACUGACGCUGAGGUGCGAAAGCGUGGGUAGCAAACAGGAUUAGAUACCCGAGUAGUC
RNAcentral lists this ribosomal RNA (465 nucleotides) under Vreelandella stevensii. RNAcentral describes it as "partial 16S ribosomal RNA". It matches the Rfam family "Bacterial small subunit ribosomal RNA", at positions 338 to 795 of the family's 1533-position model. The record is from RNAcentral. Lineage: Bacteria; Pseudomonadati; Pseudomonadota; Gammaproteobacteria; Oceanospirillales; Halomonadaceae.